GCUUCCCUGCACACUUUGGGAGAGCAGAAUAGGAGACCCUAUUUUUGCUUCCCUUCCUCCUCAAUUUUCCCUCCCUUGAGUGCCUUAAAGGUGUUUUGAG
Molecule: long non-coding RNA, 100 nt
Organism: Phyllostomus discolor (pale spear-nosed bat)
Lineage: Eukaryota; Metazoa; Chordata; Mammalia; Chiroptera; Phyllostomidae
Exons: 3
Source: RefSeq, a predicted model, not a curated record